CUCAACCGUGGAAUGCCAUAGGAUACUGCCGAGCUUGAGACGGGUAGAGGCGAGUGGAAUUCCCGGUGUAGCGGUGGAAUGCGUAGAUAUCGGGAAGAACACCAGCGGCGAAGGCGGCUCGCUGGGCCCGUUCUGACGCUCAGGCCCGAAAGCGUGGGGAGCAAACAGGAUUAGAUACCCUGGUAGUCCACGCCGUAAACGCUGGGCACUAGAUGCUGGGAAGUGUGACCUUUUCGGUGUCGUAGCUAACGCGUUAAGUGCCCCGCCUGGGGAGUACGGCCGCAAGGCUGAAACUCAAAGGAAUUGACGGGGGCCCGCACAAGCGGUGGAGCAUGUGGUUUAAUUCGAUGCAACGCGAAGAACCUUACCUGGGCUUGACAUCCUAGGGAAGUCGGGUGGAAACAUCCGACGCCCUUCGGGGCUC
Molecule: ribosomal RNA, 424 nt
Filed under: uncultured bacterium
Lineage: Bacteria
Description: bacterial SSU rRNA
Rfam family: Bacterial small subunit ribosomal RNA
Source: RNAcentral